CACUUUCAAAUCCUUUGAAUGGUUGCAAGAGCGCUCGGUUUCAAAUGAAUUCGAUCGCAAAUUUGAGUUCUGUUAUCUAUUUUUGUAUGUAAUAUGCAAAUACGUAUGCAUAGAAUAAUAGAAAUAUUAUGACAAAUUGUAAAUAAGGAGAAAAUUAAGAUUUAGAUUAUGGAGUAAAGAAAUUAUGAGUUUUUAAUACUUAAAGAUAUUAUAAAUUUGGCUUUGAAAAUAUUAGUAGCGGAUAUUCAAUACAUUCUUGUGGAUUAGGGAAUUCCCGUCUUUAGUAUUUUUUUGAAACUAUUUAGCGGGUAGGUACUUGUAUUAUGCAUAUUGUUCUACCAUAUUCAUGGUAAUUCAUUGCAAGCAAAAUGUGUGACCAUCAUCUCAACAUACAAAUGAAAUACGCAGCACGCAGUGUUGCGCAGGCGAACCGCACAAAUAUUUACGAACAUUUUGUGAAAAGGAAUGCAGAAAAACUAGACUCGAGUUGCUGGACUCUUUUUGACCGUGUGAAUGCCCAGAGCGACACCAAAAGAAAAUUUGAAAAACAUCAGACUCUUUUGCAUCCCAAUGUGAAACGGCACUAACUUAUAUUUAUAUUUAUGAUUUAUAUCAGCUUAAGCAAUGUACUUAACGGCUACAUUCCAUAAGUUUUGAUUAAAAACACUUAAGGCCCAGAAAACAAAGAGUAAACCUCAAUGGACGCUUUGCUUUUAGUGUUUCUCUCUAGCAAAAAUUGCGAAGGUUGCUUGCUCGACCCUGACUUUCUUCACAAAUUUGCAAUACACUCACAUUCUCAUUUUUGGAACUUGAACGCCGACUUGAUAUCAAUUUUUCCUCUCAAGUCGUGAGGCAAAUUACAUGCUGGGAAUAUUUCGUUAUAUUUAUGUAUUGAUAUAAAAAUAUAAGUACAUAUUAUAUUAUUAAUUUCGUGCAAAAUUAAAAAAAAAAAUGUAAGGUAUUUAAAUAAAUUUAAUAAGUGGUUUGUGUUAUCAACUUGAAAGCAAAUUAUUGAUCGUGUAACUACUGCGAUAAUAUAAAUAAUAUGCGCAUAAAAGUUAGUGAUCAUUAUUGAAGCUCUUAUCUGAGCGAAAUUUUUUCCAAGGAAAUCAAUUUUUAUAUCGUUUUUUUGAUAGAAUUUUCUACUGAAUACCACCUAAUAUUUUGUCAUAUAAAAGGCUUUUAAAUUAUAGCUUGGCAACUCUCUGUGCUGAAUCUAUUUUUCGGUACUUGCUGGAUAUCUGUAUAAAGUCGCCAUUUUUUCUUGCGCACAUUGUUAAUCAGCCAUUCUUGUGAAAUCUAUGCAUAGAAUAGAAAUUUAAUAGAAAUAAAAUAAUUUUAUGACUUAAAAAUCAUGCAAAACUAAGUAUACAUACACAAUAAAAAAUUCAUAUUUGUAAAUUUACAACUGCAUAUAAAGAAUCUCUUCGUAAGAGUUUGGCUUUCAGAGCCAGUGGAAAUUUUUUUGCGGUGUCCACCGCAGUACAUCAAUCAAAGUGGAAGUAAAGAGAGAUAAUCAAUAAUAAUUAAAUUAGCGUACGUUUCGAAGUUCCAAACAAAUAUUGCUACAGUUUACACUCAACGCGAUACACAUACGUUCCAGUGAAUUAAAAUAACUAAAAUUACGUCAAAGUUAUAAAGUAAACAAUUUAAAAAUUUACCUACAAUAAUGUCGGCAUCAAUAAGCAAAAUUCAUGUCACCAGUUCGACCGGUUUGUCUUUGAAUGAACGUUUUACGGCAGUGCAGGAUCGCCGUCGCGAAGUACCCGAACGCAUUUUGCGUCCAACUCGCGACACAUCUGUCGCCAAUCGUCGUUUAUUGCAGCAGCUAGCUAGACGACAUAAAAUGCAAGCAGCACUUAAAUUGAAACGCAGAAGCAUGCGUCCAAUUGGAGGAAGUGUAGCUAUGAGACGCGGCACGAUCAAGGCCUUGCGUGUAGCAGCUAAUGGAAAACCGAUCCGUACCAACAGCCUGACCACAGUAGCAACAAUGGAAGCCGAUUUGAUUACGAACAAUCAACGCAACUUAAACAGAUCCCUACGUCGAGCGAAUUCUGUUUCGAAUCGUUUGGGCCGCCCACUAGUAGGCGGUGCUGCUCAGCGUAUUGCCCAACGACGUUUACAACGUGCAUUGCCCGGUGCAAUCAUACCGAAUGAAAUGCAAAGGCGUGGUCGCUCACGCAGUCGUUCAAGAGCGCCGAUGGAGGUUAUAAAUUUGACCCGUAGUCGUUCACGCAGUCUCGGACGUUCUCUCCCAGCAGGCGUUCAAUUGCGUGGUCGCUCCCGUUCACGUGUACGUUCACGCAGUCGUGUCAAUGCUGUCGCCAGAACUAAUAUACCAGUAAAAGCCCGCUUGGGUGUUCGUCCUGGAGCUAUUGCACGCCGUCGACGUAGCCAAAGUGCUGUACGCGGCGUUGCACAAGGACGCAUACAACGUCGACGCAAUUCAAAUGUUGCUGCUGGAGUUGCUGGACGUACAACUAACGCUGGGCGCCAACGGGGAAGAAUCAUGACUAGAAACGCAAACGCUAUAGCAAACGCAGCUGGUCGUUCACGCUCACGCACUCGUAUUGGCGUACAGGCACGCGCUCAAUCGCGUGCACGCUCACGUACUCGUGGGGGAUCUGUUGUGGGUCAGCGCAAUGUAGGAUCGGUACAGGGUAGUCGCAUACGUGGCCGCAGUCAACAACGGCGUGGGGGACGUGGUGCAAUAGCACAAAGAAAUGGUAAAACUAAUGGUAAUAAGAAUGGACAUCAACAACAGCAACAGCAGCGACGUGGUCGUAGCCGCAGCCGUGGUGGACGCGGUGGCCGUAAUCAAGGUAAAAACUAACCAAGGCGUGUUGUAAAUGCACACGCUACGUCUGGAAUUGCGGUAUUCAAGUGUGGAAAAUACGUAAAACUGCUAAACCAGAGGUUGAUAAGGAUAAGCUCGACAAGGAGUUGGACCAAUAUAUGGCCACAACAAGAACUGAGAGUAGUGACUUUCUGCUAAGGAAUUAGGUCACUUAGCGUAUUAGCAUAACCACCGUGAAAUAUAUACAUAGAAUAGUUUAAACAUAAUAUUUAUUAUUUUACAUAAAACAAUUUGAAGAGUGUGUACGUUUCUUUUAAUACGUAAAAUAUUUCAACUUUUAGUUAAGUAAAAGCAGUGAAAACUGCAUAAUCAAACCUAUGUAUAUAAAUAAAGUAAUUUACAUUAAGAUCUUACCUAUUAGUACUGCGUAACAAUUUUGUAAAAUCCUUUAUUAUCUCAAAGGAAAUUUGAAUUUAAUAUACUUUAUUGUUGCCAUUAACAAAUAAAUGAUAUGCAGCAUAAAAAA
Bactrocera oleae (olive fruit fly) is the source of this 3323-nucleotide RNA transcript. RefSeq lists it as uncharacterized. NCBI's taxonomy places the organism in Eukaryota, Metazoa, Arthropoda, Insecta, Diptera, Tephritidae. The record is from RefSeq and is a predicted model, not a curated record.